RNAcentral lists this long non-coding RNA (6741 nucleotides) under Triticum aestivum (bread wheat). RNAcentral describes it as "long non-coding RNA (TAES_LNC012687)". The record is from RNAcentral. Lineage: Eukaryota; Viridiplantae; Streptophyta; Magnoliopsida; Poales; Poaceae.
GCGAGUUCUCGGCGGCGAUUUCCUUCGCCAAAAAUUUGGCAGGCCAUCGUUUUGGCAGGGCUGGUUUGGGUUCAAUCCAAACAGCCCCAUACUCCUCUGCCGCCAUCCCUGCCCCCCGCGCCCAUUCGGACCUCGCCGGAACCCCGAGCCACCGGUGGGCAGACCAAACUGGUUCCGCCGUCUGUGUGCCGCAGAGCACCUCGCCGUUCCCUCCCCCGAGCGAAGUCCUCCCGAACGCCGUGCCACCGUGCCCUGAGCUUGCAAGGUGAGUUCUCUGAUCGAUUGGCGUGAGCUGGGGAUUUGCGCCUGUUUUAUAUGUUCAAUUGCUAUGAUAUGAACGGCGGAUUGGGGGUCAGAGCAGAGCAGUCCAUCUCGCAGCACGUGGUUUUCCCCAAAGUUCAAACAAGAUCUCGUUUUUUGUCUAGACUCCACGACAUGAUUCUGCCAGGAAGAUUUGAUCAAUCAAUUUAGGCAGGGGUGACAAGAAUCCUGGGUUAAUACCUACACGCUUUAGGCAAACAGGGGAUAUGAUUUCUUGGGGUAAUUAGCAAAGAUCAGGGGAGAGUGGGCGAGUGGCCGAGAGGACUUAACGAGAUGAUGUAUAGUGGCACAUCAGAUGCAGAUACUUCCCGAGCAAGCGGUUGCCAUCCAACAUCAUGUGUGUCUGUCUUGAUUAACCGCUGUCAUAUUUGUUCCUCACCACUCGAUCAGAUCAUACAAACAUAUAUUUUGCAUUAGUCGUCAGAACAGAGGAUACAUUUGGUACACAAAUCAACAACUUGCUGCCUGAAGGAAUUAACGCUAAACAUUGACACUUCAUUUUUGGACCGCAGAGAACUUUUGAUUCUAGUUGGAUGAAUGGAUUGCAAGGCAAUAACAGAGUGGGUGUAAAAAGUACAGCAACUAAGAAGAGUACUCAGUACACACUUCGAAAACACAUAUCAUGCACCAUUCGUUUAAUUUGUACCGAUACAUCACAUUGAAAAAUCAUCACAAUACUUGGAUACCAUAAGAUACUUAGAACACCUAGUGUGCUCGCACUGGCACACCACACUUAUAUCACGUGAAACAAUAUAGCAGUUUAAAGGAAAGUCACACACAGCCAACUCCUAGACAUAAAAAUAACUUUUAACACACACGCAGUGGAGAUUAGAUAGUAGCACACCUGCACACUCAGACACACCUUGAUGAUAAAGUAACAGAUGACCAGGAUAAAUUACUGGUGCACACGAAUAUCAAUUUGACGAAGAAUGCAUGGUAGCACACUGCAGAAAUAGUUUCUACUGACGACGAGGAAUGUUGCUUGCAUCAGUAGCCUCAGUGGCCUUGGGUAUUGGAUUCUGCGUAAGGAUAGGGUGAUUUGGAUUUUCUUUUGUGGCAUGUAUGAUGCUACUCAGGUCACAGUUACUGUUCAGCUCAAUCUCUUUCAGGCUCAGAAGUUGUUCAAUUCCAUGUAGGUUUUCCAUGCUAUUGGAAGUCCAAACUAUCUUCUCAAGAUUAGAAGCUCCAUUAUGUUCAAAAUGAAUGUUGGAGAUGUCUGAGUCCUCUAUGACAAGAAGCUGAAGUCUUUUGAAUUUGUUACUCCUCAAAGUAAGCUUCUUGUCCUUAUAUGACUUGGGCCGGAGCAUGAGAAGGCGCAAAUUGCCAAGUUCACCUAGCAGCUGUAUAUCAGUGUCCGUCAAGUAUGUACCACAGAGAGUUAUCUUCGAAAGUUUAUGUAGCUCUUUGAUCCAGCUUGGUAGCCCCCUUAUCCAUCCAUUGAUUCUAAGAUUUAUAAGAGAUUUGGGAGGUGAAAAUGUCUCGUUUGUGUUCAUGUCAUCAGUAUCAUCGCCAUCAUGUUCACUUUUUGAGCGAAACACACUAGUAUCAGUCUUUCUUAUUUCAAUACAGAUUGACAAAGAGCACAGAGAUUCAUGUAGCUUUCCAAUUACCCGAAGCAAAAUGUGGAGCAAAUGGGCUUCAUUGCCAUGGAUAACCACACCCAGCUUCCUCAACUGCUGCAGCCGACCAACUUCAGUUAACUAAUGCUCAUCACCUUUCUUGGAAACUUCAACAUGGGAUAGUAUCUGCAUGUUUGUCAUGGUCCCUAUUCCAUGAGGGAUAUGAACAGUGGAAAGUGACUCAUCUAGCCCGGUGUGACCUGCAAGCAGAUGCACUAGCUUUUGGAGCAUACCAAUGGCUUUUGUAGGGAAUGAUCGUAUCUUGGUUUGCCUGAUGUCAAAUGUCUCCAGGUACCUGAGCUUGUCAAUCUCCUUGGGCAGGUCAGUAAGGUCUGUGUUCCUUAGACUGAGAUACUUGAGCUGAAAUAGCUUGUUGCAGAUUAUCUUGAGGUUCUGCUUCUUUAAUCCAUUGCAACCUUCUAGGUCCAGCACUUUGACCAAUCCUAAUUGAGAAGAUGCGAGCAGCGAAUUCAGAAAUGUUACCAUGGCAUACAAGGGAUCCUUGAUACUGGCAGGGGGCUUCUGGGGUCUCCAGCAGCAUGUGUUGAGAUAUGUGGCUUGUCUCUUCUUGGGGAGUUGUUGGAGUUGAAUUCCAUUGCGAAUGGAAAGGCAGUGUGCAAACUCAGGCAGCAGGCCUGUGUUCCCAACAUUCUCUUCACGUGCCAUCUUAGCAAUGAAGGAGCAAACAUGAGGAUGUACCUUACAAAACUUGACUUUGCCUUCAGGGCCAAGUUCACAGGGAAGAACAAGGCCUCGUGCAACGAGCGCAUUGAAUGCACGCUCAGCAUGAUCCAAUGCAGUCAACUCAUGUGUUCUGAUGAUCAGGUUUUCAGCAACCCAUCUUCUGACUAAGCUUGUUCUCCGGAUUUUGGAAUCUUGGGGGAAAAUGGAUAGGUACAACAAGCACAUCUUAUAAUGGCUGGGGGUCGUCAUAACAGAACCUUAGGAUUUGGUUUGCAUUACUCAGUGUGCUAAAAUCUUUUAGCCUAUGCAGCAGUUUCUUCCAAUCUUCAUUGCUUCUGUGAGGAUUAGCAUGAAGAGCAUGAAGGACCAUCUUGGUAGAAAAGGAAUCCCAACGACAUCUCUUAAGAAUUUGCUCAACAAUGCCCAGUGAUUCCUCCAUGUAGUUGCUCCCGUCCAGCAAUUGGGUGGCUUUUUUGAGUGCAGUAUCAAGAUAGGAUAAGAAGUGGACGUUGCAGCGGUAAUCUUUGAGCAAGAAAAAAUAGCUAGCUAUGUACCACCCAUGCAAAUGAGGUGUCUGCUGUAUCAUUGGGGUUACUAUGAUAGCACUGUCAGAAGUGUGAUCAGUUGGCAAAGCAUUUGUAAUGUCUGCCCAUGGUGAAUGAUCCUCAUGAUCAGCCAGAAUGAUCAAGAAUUUUUGACCUUUCAGGUGCUGUUGAAUCUCUUGCUCCAAUUUCAUCUCAUCCCAUGUGGUAAUCUGAUGGUCUUCAAUGGAGUGGGGUUGUACUUGUUUGAGUAUGAAUUGAAGCCUCUCCUUCCGAUUGGGAUUGCGCUUGGCAUCGACCCAGACCUUGAAGUUGAAAUGACUUGCUGCAUCAGGAUGGUCAUACACUGUCCUUGCAAGAUCAGUCGCCCGCUUGUGUGCCUCUGGAUUACUGGCAUCAACCGGUGGUGUUACAAUGGCAAGGAGUUUAGCCCGCAUAUGGUCAUUGCCGAAAACUCCCUUCAGCCAUCGAAUCAACUUCAUAGUGUAUUGCACCUCCAUCGCGGACAGUUCUUUUGCCUUUUCUUUCUGGUUAUGUCUUCCUCCCUCCUCUCCAUCCUCCUCCUCCUCCUGCUCUACUUCUCUUCGUCCUCCUCCCUCUACUUUAGGGGAGUCAAUUACUGUUGACUUUCCGGGUGGUUGUUUUUCCUUUUCUCUCUGGUUCUGCGUUCCUCCUCCCUCUCCUUGCUCCCCCUUUUCUACGUCUGUUCCUCCUUCCACUUUUUCAGAUGAGCUAGCUACUGUUGACUUUGUGGGCGGUUGUUUUUCCUUUUCUCUCUUGUUCUGUGUUCCUCCUCCUCCCUCCCCAUCCUCCUCUUCUCCUCCGCUUCCUCCUUCCACCUUUUUAGAUGAGCUAGCUACUGUUGACUUUCCGGGAUUGUCACCUCCUAAUAUCAUGCCCAUCAGCCAGCCACCAUCGUGAACCAGCUCCCUUACCCCCUCUUUGGCCAGAUGACGCAGCAUCAGCCACACUUUCUUUUUGACCUUCUCAUUCUCCUCCUGCACCUUCGUUGCCUCCUCAAGUAGUACCAUCACCUUCUGCUUGGCGUUUUCAUACCAUUCGAGCACCUUCUUAUCCUUGAUCUCCUGUAAUUUCUUUUUGAUCUCGUUCUCCUCCACCACCUUCAUGGCCUCCUCUCGCAGAUUCUCUUCAAACGUGUUCCCUUGCUCCUUCUCUUUGGUCUUCACAAACUGCUCCACCCUCUUCUUAUACUUGGGCAGCCCCAUGAUUAUCUCCUCCCUCUCACUAUGAUCCAUGUAACGCAUUGUGUGAAGCAGCUCCCCUUUGGCAUUUGUGGAAAGCAGCUCCUUAUCUGUGGCAUUCGAGAACAACGGUAGCCUCCUUUUAUUCUUGAACUCCGGCAUCAUCGUCUUCAUGGGCAUCUUAUCGAACUCGUCCCAUAUGGCCGUGUCGUACCACUGCCGCCUCCUCUUUUCUUUCAGCUCCUGCAUCGUUUUUUGGAUGUUCUCGUCCUUGUCCACCAACUUUAUGGCCUCCUUAUUUGUUUGCAUCCUUGCGACUACAGGUAUAGUCGCGGUUAAGGCAUGCUGCUCGGUUAUUUUGGCUUUGUUUAUCAUGCUCAGUAGAUCUUUCUCUUUUACUAGUCCCUUUCCUAACUUGAGUAUCUGCACCACUAGUUCAUCAUACUUGGACCUUGCUAUCCAGAUGUCACCAAGGCUACUGGACUUUGGAUGAUCACCUUCUCCUCUCAGCCACGCAAUCACCUGCUGCGCUCUCGCGUCAACGUCCAAUAGGUCGGCAAUAUCAGCUACAGCAGUAUGCCUCUGAUUAUCUUCCUCCUCCGCACCAUCUUCUCCGGUGGAAGCGUGAGUUGCUGGUGGCUUGUCCGGGACAAUCGUGACGCCAUACCUCUGCCGCCGCUCCCCCACCUCGCACACCCUGGACUUGAGCUCUCGGAUCUGCAUGGCGAUGCGGUGGCGAUCUGGCAUGGUCCGCAUUAUCUGCGGCACAUGCUGUACGGUGCCAAGGAGCCCCGCCGUGGGGCGGCUGGCACCGCAGGUCUGCACGUAGCGGUCAAUGCAGUUCUGGGAGUCAUAGGCGACCUCCCGGACUUGCCUCAUCCAUGACCGGACCUGGUUGUUUGGUUGGCAACCCGUAUCGGCCACGUCGAGUAGGAAGCCGUUCAUGCUCUCCAUCUCGUCCUUGAUGAACUGCACGUCGCCACGGACACCGCCCAGCAGUUUGGCCUCAUCGCUGAUGACCGUGGCUAGGGUGCCCAGCAGCGAGCCCACGGCGCUCUGGGCGCUGCCGGCCAUCUUGAUGUCCGCUUUUCCUCCUCUCUCUUGUUUGGAAUAGUAUAGUUGGAUUUGGACCAAGGCGUAGUGACGAACUAAGCGAUGAGGCUAUGGGCAUCUUCACGGCACGGGACAAGUCUAGCAAAGCAAAAGGAAACCAUCAUCCUUCAUCUGCACGUAUGCCCAUGCAUGGGACCGGCUGGGCCAAAAUUCUGUUCCAAACUUGCGAGUCUCUCUGAAGUAAGGUUGGCAAUCAGGCGCUCUGCGACCAUGGGCAGAGAGUACAUUGCCCAUCUCGUCUAUUAGCAUGUAAGGCACGCAGUCACCUCUUUCUUAUGAUGUACGCUUUAUGUAGCAUCAGUACUAUAACAACAUACACUCUAUUUAUUAUUAAUGGAAGUCUAUUUUUGUCAUCCGAUCUUCUUUUUGGUAGCUUUUUCAACCUUAAAACUUUCUGGUGUUACGGUCAAAAUGCUAUGUUUAUAUGUCGCGUUUUCGGCCCCCAAGAAAACAUAGUUGUACAUUACACGAUGAUAUGUUUACAUGCAAGAAAAUUGUGCAGACUCAUUACUGUGAAUCUCAUAUGGGCUCCUCCAUGCAGGUCAAGAAAAGUAACCUUGCAUCCUUUGCCCCAAUCAGAAAUGGCCAUGAUCAAGAGGGUCCACGUUAAAAACUGAAAGCACAAGACAUGAUAUGUGCUUUGAUUAUCUUUCUCAUUCACCUUAGCAAAAGCAACGCAUCUUGGCAGAUGUGCAAAAGCAAAAGGAAAAAAAUUGUUUAUCCGCAUAUACAUAGCGGGAGGAAUACUUAUAUGGCCAAGGCUGCAGAGUAGUAGAUGGAGCCUAUGGGUUGGAAAAGAACCGGUUCCAAACCUGCGUAGCUAGAACUAGCUACGAAAGAGGUGAAGGAAAGAGCAAGAGUGUGGUGGAUAGUUGUGUCCAAGACACACUCCAUUGUGGGCUUAUGACCUACGUUUGUAUUUGGGAAAAAUUGAAUUUUCAAGUUUUUUUCUUUCUUUUUACCUGCAAAAAAAGAAUUUCCAAGUUUUUUUUUCUUCAUCUAGCUGGACGUAAGAUGAUUUUCCUUUCGACAUGCAUCUCCGAUGGUCGAGUUAUUAACGACUUAAUGUCGGGCCUGGAUGUCCCUGGUUGCUCCUGUAUGAGCUUCCUAGUUCUUGCGCUGUUAACAGAUAUGUGUACGUGCUGCAGGAAGGCGUACUAUCAUGAUGAACUAGAUCGGGCUCGUGCCUUGACGCGAGGGUGCCGGUCCCAACGUUUUGGUCAACCGGGUAAUUGUAAGUUAGUAGGAAUCCAUGUUUUG